UACGGAGGGUGCAAGCGUUGUCCGGAAUCACUGGGCGUAAAGAGCUCGUAGGCGGUCUGUCGCGUCGGCUGUGAAAACCCGGAGCUCAACUCCGGGCCUGCAGUCGAUACGGGCAGACUGGAGUUCGGCAGGGGAGACUGGAAUUCCUGGUGUAGCGGUGAAAUGCGCAGAUAUCAGGAGGAACACCGGUGGCGAAGGCGGGUCUCUGGGCCGAUACUGACGCUGAGGAGCGAAAGCGUGGGGAGCGAACAGG
Molecule: ribosomal RNA, 253 nt
Filed under: uncultured bacterium
Lineage: Bacteria
Description: partial 16S ribosomal RNA
Rfam family: Bacterial small subunit ribosomal RNA
Source: RNAcentral